RNAcentral lists this ribosomal RNA (2901 nucleotides) under Escherichia coli 2720900. RNAcentral's name for it is "bacterial LSU rRNA". It matches the Rfam family "Bacterial large subunit ribosomal RNA". Lineage: Bacteria; Pseudomonadati; Pseudomonadota; Gammaproteobacteria; Enterobacterales; Enterobacteriaceae. The record is from RNAcentral.
UAAGCGACUAAGCGUACACGGUGGAUGCCCUGGCAGUCAGAGGCGAUGAAGGACGUGCUAAUCUGCGAUAAGCGUCGGUAAGGUGAUAUGAACCGUUAUAACCGGCGAUUUCCGAAUGGGGAAACCCAGUGUGUUUCGACACACUAUCAUUAACUGAAUCCAUAGGUUAAUGAGGCGAACCGGGGGAACUGAAACAUCUAAGUACCCCGAGGAAAAGAAAUCAACCGAGAUUCCCCCAGUAGCGGCGAGCGAACGGGGAGCAGCCCAGAGCCUGAAUCAGUGUGUGUGUUAGUGGAAGCGUCUGGAAAGGCGCGCGAUACAGGGUGACAGCCCCGUACACAAAAAUGCACAUGCUGUGAGCUCGAUGAGUAGGGCGGGACACGUGGAAUCCUGUCUGAAUAUGGGGGGACCAUCCUCCAAGGCUAAAUACUCCUGACUGACCGAUAGUGAACCAGUACCGUGAGGGAAAGGCGAAAAGAACCCCGGCGAGGGGAGUGAAAAAGAACCUGAAACCGUGUACGUACAAGCAGUGGGAGCACGCUUAGGCGUGUGACUGCGUACCUUUUGUAUAAUGGGUCAGCGACUUAUAUUCUGUAGCAAGGUUAACCGAAUAGGGGAGCCGAAGGGAAACCGAGUCUUAACUGGGCGUUAAGUUGCAGGGUAUAGACCCGAAACCCGGUGAUCUAGCCAUGGGCAGGUUGAAGGUUGGGCAACACUAACUGGAGGACCGAACCGACUAAUGUUGAAAAAUUAGCGGAUGACUUGUGGCUGGGGGUGAGAGGCCAAUCAAACCGGGAGAUAGCUGGUUCUCCCCGAAAGCUAUUUAGGUAGCGCCUCGUGAAUUCAUCUCCGGGGGUAGAGCACUGUUUCGGCAAGGGGGUCAUCCCGACUUACCAACCCGAUGCAAACUGCGAAUACCGGAGAAUGUUAUCACGGGAGACACACGGCGGGUGCUAACGUCCGUCGUGAAGAGGGAAACAACCCAGACCGCCAGCUAAGGUCCCAAAGUCAUGGUUAAGUGGGAAACGAUGUGGGAAGGCCCAGACAGCCAGGAUGUUGGCUUAGAAGCAGCCAUCAUUUAAAGAAAGCGUAAUAGCUCACUGGUCGAGUCGGCCUGCGCGGAAGAUGUAACGGGGCUAAACCAUGCACCGAAGCUGCGGCAGCGACGCUUAUGCGUUGUUGGGUAGGGGAGCGUUCUGUAAGCCUGCGAAGGUGUGCUGUGAGGCAUGCUGGAGGUAUCAGAAGUGCGAAUGCUGACAUAAGUAACGAUAAAGCGGGUGAAAAGCCCGCUCGCCGGAAGACCAAGGGUUCCUGUCCAACGUUAAUCGGGGCAGGGUGAGUCGACCCCUAAGGCGAGGCCGAAAGGCGUAGUCGAUGGGAAACAGGUUAAUAUUCCUGUACUUGGUGUUACUGCGAAGGGGGGACGGAGAAGGCUAUGUUGGCCGGGCGACGGUUGUCCCGGUUUAAGCGUGUAGGCUGGUUUUCCAGGCAAAUCCGGAAAAUCAAGGCUGAGGCGUGAUGACGAGGCACUACGGUGCUGAAGCAACAAAUGCCCUGCUUCCAGGAAAAGCCUCUAAGCAUCAGGUAACAUCAAAUCGUACCCCAAACCGACACAGGUGGUCAGGUAGAGAAUACCAAGGCGCUUGAGAGAACUCGGGUGAAGGAACUAGGCAAAAUGGUGCCGUAACUUCGGGAGAAGGCACGCUGAUAUGUAGGUGAAGUCCCUCGCGGAUGGAGCUGAAAUCAGUCGAAGAUACCAGCUGGCUGCAACUGUUUAUUAAAAACACAGCACUGUGCAAACACGAAAGUGGACGUAUACGGUGUGACGCCUGCCCGGUGCCGGAAGGUUAAUUGAUGGGGUUAGCGCAAGCGAAGCUCUUGAUCGAAGCCCCGGUAAACGGCGGCCGUAACUAUAACGGUCCUAAGGUAGCGAAAUUCCUUGUCGGGUAAGUUCCGACCUGCACGAAUGGCGUAAUGAUGGCCAGGCUGUCUCCACCCGAGACUCAGUGAAAUUGAACUCGCUGUGAAGAUGCAGUGUACCCGCGGCAAGACGGAAAGACCCCGUGAACCUUUACUAUAGCUUGACACUGAACAUUGAGCCUUGAUGUGUAGGAUAGGUGGGAGGCUUUGAAGUGUGGACGCCAGUCUGCAUGGAGCCGACCUUGAAAUACCACCCUUUAAUGUUUGAUGUUCUAACGUUGACCCGUGAUCCGGGUUGCGGACAGUGUCUGGUGGGUAGUUUGACUGGGGCGGUCUCCUCCUAAAGAGUAACGGAGGAGCACGAAGGUUGGCUAAUCCUGGUCGGACAUCAGGAGGUUAGUGCAAUGGCAUAAGCCAGCUUGACUGCGAGCGUGACGGCGCGAGCAGGUGCGAAAGCAGGUCAUAGUGAUCCGGUGGUUCUGAAUGGAAGGGCCAUCGCUCAACGGAUAAAAGGUACUCCGGGGAUAACAGGCUGAUACCGCCCAAGAGUUCAUAUCGACGGCGGUGUUUGGCACCUCGAUGUCGGCUCAUCACAUCCUGGGGCUGAAGUAGGUCCCAAGGGUAUGGCUGUUCGCCAUUUAAAGUGGUACGCGAGCUGGGUUUAGAACGUCGUGAGACAGUUCGGUCCCUAUCUGCCGUGGGCGCUGGAGAACUGAGGGGGGGCUGCUCCUAGUACGAGAGGACCGGAGUGGACGCAUCACUGGUGUUCGGGUUGUCAUGCCAAUGGCACUGCCCGGUAGCUAAAUGCGGAAGAGAUAAGUGCUGAAAGCAUCUAAGCACGAAACUUGCCCCGAGAUGAGUUCUCCCUGACUCCUUGAGAGUCCUGAAGGAACGUUGAAGACGACGACGUUGAUAGGCCGGGUGUGUAAGCGCAGCGAUGCGUUGAGCUAACCGGUACUAAUGAACCGUGAGGCUUAACCU